UAUCUCUGUAGAGUCUGCAUAUCAAUAAGCGGAGGAAAAGAAACUAACAAGGAUUCCCCUAGUAACGGCGAGUGAAGCGGGAAGAGCUCAAAUUUGAAAUCUUAAAGGUUUUCCCUUGACGAAUUGUAGUUUAAAGAAGUGUUUUCUGUUGAGUGUUUUGGUAAAAGUUCUUUGGAAUAGGACAUCAUAGAGGGUGAGAAUCCCGUAUUUGACCAUUUACUUUCAGCUUUGUGAUACACUUUCAAAGAGUCGGAUUGUUUGGGAAUGCAGUCCAAAAUGGGUGGUAAAUUUCAUCUAAAGCUAAAUAUUGGCGAGAGACCGAUAGCGAACAAGUACCGUGAGGGAAAGAUGAAAAGAACUUUGAAAAGAGAGUUAAACAGUACGUGAAAUUGUCAAAAGGGAAGCGUUUGACACCAGUGUUGUUUUUCUGAAAAUCAAUUAAAGAACUGUUUAUGCUAAGUUGUUUAGACUUUAUCAGCUAACUGUUUAGUUUUGAGCUUUUCUUUAAUGCACUUUUCAGUUAACAAGUCAACAUCAAUUUCUUUUGCUGUAAAAAAGCUUGAGGAAGGUGGCUUGAGAUUCGUCUUAAGUGUUUAUAGCCUCUUGCCUAUGCAGUCGGAGAGAUUGAGGUCUGCAGCGUAGAUCCUUCGGGGCUAGAUACGUAGAUGCUGAGUUAUAGUUUUUUAUAGACAACUUGUUGACUAUAAUUAAUCAUGUAGCUUACUCGUUUGCGCUAUUUUACCUACGCUUAGGAUGUUGACGAUCAGCUGAGCGCG
RNAcentral lists this ribosomal RNA (776 nucleotides) under uncultured Neocallimastigales. RNAcentral describes it as "partial large subunit ribosomal RNA". It matches the Rfam family "Eukaryotic large subunit ribosomal RNA", at positions 24 to 635 of the family's 3401-position model. The record is from RNAcentral. Lineage: Eukaryota; Fungi; Neocallimastigomycota; Neocallimastigomycetes; Neocallimastigales.